GUUAAUGUAGCUUAAAUACAAAGCAAGGCACUGAAAAUGCCUAGAUGAGUACAUCAACUCCAUAAACA
Molecule: transfer RNA, 68 nt
Filed under: Gazella bennettii (chinkara)
Lineage: Eukaryota; Metazoa; Chordata; Mammalia; Artiodactyla; Bovidae
Description: tRNA-Phe
Rfam family: tRNA
About the family: Transfer RNA (tRNA) molecules are approximately 80 nucleotides in length. Their secondary structure includes four short double-helical elements and three loops (D, anti-codon, and T loops). Further hydrogen bonds mediate the characteristic L-shaped molecular structure. tRNAs have two regions of fundamental functional importance: the anti-codon, which is responsible for specific mRNA codon recognition, and the 3' end, to which the tRNAs corresponding amino acid is attached (by aminoacyl-tRNA synthetases). tRNAs cope with the degeneracy of the genetic code in two manners: having more than one tRNA (with a specific anti-codon) for a particular amino acid; and 'wobble' base-pairing, i.e. permitting non-standard base-pairing at the 3rd anti-codon position.
Source: RNAcentral